UGUCAAAAAUAUUAUCCAUUUCUGUUAUUAAAAACUAGCAUGGCUGACAAAAUAAUCAAAAAGUUACAUGUGGCGUAUCACGUGUACCUUAUGUUGGCAUACAAUAACUAGUUUUUAAUUGUAAAAAUGAAUGAAAUUUUUAACA
Molecule: non-coding RNA, 145 nt
Organism: Gossypium raimondii (Peruvian cotton)
Lineage: Eukaryota; Viridiplantae; Streptophyta; Magnoliopsida; Malvales; Malvaceae
Source: Rfam